Long non-coding RNA from Hirundo rustica (Barn swallow), 1695 nucleotides. RefSeq lists it as uncharacterized. The record is from RefSeq and is a predicted model, not a curated record. The transcript has 3 exons. Lineage: Eukaryota; Metazoa; Chordata; Aves; Passeriformes; Hirundinidae.
GGGAGGGAGGGAUGGAGCCGCUGCCGCUCCCGGCUCCGGGGCCGGCCCUAUGGAAAAGGCCAUCAGGGAAGGAGUGGAAUCAUUGUUGAGAGACACCGAUGCAGGACCUGGAUCUGUGAGGACAGAGUGACCAACCAGGAGAAGGAUGCACGGGAGAAUCUGUGGUGGCUUAAGCCCAAGACAAUGCAUCUCUCCUGUAAAAAUGCACAAGAGACUUUCAACUAAAACAUGGCCUGAAGAAAGUUAAUGAAGUUGUUAAUAGUCUGUGUCACAAAUGAGAAGACUGUGGAUGAUUCUGGUUUUUUCCUUCAGGCCUUAAUGAGUCAUGAAAAUGAUAGAAAGCUAAUUUUUCUAAUGGAGCAGGUUCUGUAAGUAAAAGAAGAGGAAAAAAUCAAGAAAAAACUAAAAUACAGACAUCUGAUGACAAGAGCUACUACUGGUGGUGACCAGUGUGUUGUAAGCUGGAAUUUUCUUGAAUCUUAAUGGUCGUUUUGACCUAAUUUACUUUUUUAGAAAGGUCAAAAACUUUUUUUUCUGCUAAAGGUCAUGUACUUCAACUAAGAAAUCUUCUCUCAUCUACAGAACAAUACAGCAACAUAAAAUUCAGGUGUUUUUCAUUCUGAACAUAUUAAUGGAUCAUGAGCAAUAAGCCUGGAGUAUUUCACACCCCUUUGCCCUGCCCUCAUUAAAUAAUUCCUUUUUGUGCUUGUGUGUGUGAAAGAUCCCAGGCUUAUGUAGUUACCCAGCAGCAGGGUCAUCCACUGGAGCCUGGAGAUGGAUGUAAUUUCACACAGAAGGAAAAUGACAUUCUCAAAACCCACAUGGACCUGAUAAUUGUGAGAGAAGUGUGAGAAGAAAGCUCCUUGUAAAACAAGGGUGCCACAUUUAGAUAAAAACCUUGAUUUCAGUCUCAGAAAUGCUGUGGACGUUUCAGUUGAAUAAUGCAGCUUUAUUGCUUCUGGAAAUGGUUGCACCUCUUGGUCAAUCAGGUCAGGUUCUUCCUGAGGGCUCUCAGGCCUUAUACCUCAAAUGGGAAUGGCACUGCAGGAAUAUUGACAUUUUCACAUCAUUCUUCCUAUCGGAAUAACAGCUCAAUGAACUGCCCCUAAAAUGAAAAAGAAGGAAAGAAAACCGAAAAUGCUUUUUCAAUAAAUUGGUGAUCUUGCUCAGAAAUAUUGAAGGGACGCAUAGCAAACUAGAGUGGUCACAGGACUUGCAACAGUGUGUUGUGUGGGGAAAAAAGCUACCGCUAUCCUAAUUGGGGAAUUUCUCUGACAGGAAACUAGGAUCCAUUCCACUUGACAAUUUCUUCAUGUAAACUACAUAAAAUAUUUUAUAAAACCUGAUUGAUUUCCAUAACAGAAUUUUGGCAGUUUAAAGCGAAACGUGUUGCUAUGACAGUUCCUACAAAUCUUUUAGCUUUGUUUUGUAUUAUAAAUAUGUCAAAAUGAAGCCAUUUCUGUCCAAACAAAAAAUCCCCAAGCUUUAUAAAAUUGUUUCUUACUUGCCAAAGUCAAGAUGAAGGCUAAUUUCCAAUGCUGUAACUUAGAUCUGCAUAACCAUAAACCCACAAGGACAUAGCUUUGGUCUUAUAAAUAAGUAAUGUCAUUAGAUACAGUAUUCUUAGUUUAAUUGACUCUGUUUGCUACUCUGUAUAACAGUGAAUAAAAAAUAAAGGACAUGUAGCAUUGGUGA